RNAcentral lists this small RNA (737 nucleotides) under Pongo abelii (Sumatran orangutan). RNAcentral's name for it is "processed transcript". The record is from RNAcentral. Lineage: Eukaryota; Metazoa; Chordata; Mammalia; Primates; Hominidae.
ACAGAUGGUGAGUCAACAAAAGGUACAAUUUGAGAACUCCCUCUUGGUGUCUAGGAUAUAAAAGAAAGUCAAGAACCUGAACCAGCCCACCAACAACAAUGAAAAGUCAGCAGUUUGCAACCUGGAAGAGGGUCCUCACCAGAACCUGACCAGGCUGGCACACUCAUCUCAGACUUCCAGCCUCCAGAGGCUGGUCUGCGAUUUGCUGUGGCUGACAGAAUAUGAUGAAGUGAUGUUAUAUGGGUUCCUUGCUCAGCCUUUAAGUGGUCUUGGAGCUACUGCUCUCUACUCCACACUGCUACCACCAUCUGAAGAGCCCCACAGUAGGAGACACUUGGCCCAGAUAAUCACAAAGAAAAAGAGUAUGCAGUGAGAAGGACAAGUCUCAUAACCACAUGUUGUUAAUGAAGAAGCUGAGGCACCAAGCAACUUAAGGAUUUGACCAAGAUCAGAUAGCACAGCAGAUUCAAAGAUAAUGCCAGCUCAUGAUCUCCUUUUCUGGUGCUGUUUACACCGUGAUACUUCAACACUGAAAGAAAUACCUAUCAAUUCUCUUACUACUUUAAAGAUGCAUUUUUACUGUCUCCAGGCAUCCUCUAAUUUUAUGUUUCUAUUUGUUUCAUAUAGUUUAGGUUAUUAACUCCUAAAGGCUAGGGCAUACAUUUUGAAAUUUUUUUUCUCAGGACGUUAGGAACCUUAAUAAAUUACUUUUGAUGGUUACUUUCCACAAGGCAAGA